RNAcentral lists this signal recognition particle RNA (309 nucleotides) under Methanocaldococcus fervens AG86. RNAcentral's name for it is "SRP RNA; RNA component of signal recognitionparti cle". It matches the Rfam family "Archaeal signal recognition particle RNA". The record is from RNAcentral. Lineage: Archaea; Methanobacteriati; Methanobacteriota; Methanococci; Methanococcales; Methanocaldococcaceae.
UGGCUAGGCCGGGGGGUUGGGCGUCCCCUGUAACCCGAAAUCGCCCUUAUGCGGGGGCCGAAAACUUGGGGGCGGUAUGUUGUUUGGCCCCCUCUUCCCAGAUUCCUCGAUGAUGCCUCGUCCCGUGGGGCUCGGCGGUGGGGGAGCAUCUCCUGUAGGGGAGAUGUAACCCCCUUUGCCUGCCGAACCCCGCCAGGCCCGGAAGGGAGCAACGGUAGGCAGGACGUCGGCGCUCACGGGGGAAGCGGGGCUGAGAAGGAAUCUGGGGGCGAGAGGGGGCUAGACAACAUACCCACCCCAAGGAAGCCA